AGGGGUAUAGCUCAGUGGUAGAGCACGUACCUAGCAUGCACGAAGUCCUGGAUUCAAUCCCCAGUACUUCCA
This 72-nucleotide transfer RNA is filed under the name Camelus bactrianus (Bactrian camel). It matches the Rfam family "tRNA". Rfam says of the family: Transfer RNA (tRNA) molecules are approximately 80 nucleotides in length. Their secondary structure includes four short double-helical elements and three loops (D, anti-codon, and T loops). Further hydrogen bonds mediate the characteristic L-shaped molecular structure. tRNAs have two regions of fundamental functional importance: the anti-codon, which is responsible for specific mRNA codon recognition, and the 3' end, to which the tRNAs corresponding amino acid is attached (by aminoacyl-tRNA synthetases). tRNAs cope with the degeneracy of the genetic code in two manners: having more than one tRNA (with a specific anti-codon) for a particular amino acid; and 'wobble' base-pairing, i.e. permitting non-standard base-pairing at the 3rd anti-codon position. RNAcentral also lists the same sequence under 1 other name. Lineage: Eukaryota; Metazoa; Chordata; Mammalia; Artiodactyla; Camelidae. The record is from Rfam by way of RNAcentral.